Molecule: long non-coding RNA, 135 nt
Organism: Haliotis rubra (blacklip abalone)
Lineage: Eukaryota; Metazoa; Mollusca; Gastropoda; Lepetellida; Haliotidae
Exons: 3
Source: RefSeq, a predicted model, not a curated record
UUCAGCGGUCAAGUAGCAAGCAAUUCAUUGCAGUAAUCCUCAUUGUAAACCAAAAUUCACUGUGUUCUUUAAUCUGAUUGGUUGAAAAACGUGAUCAAAUGGUAUUCGAUUCCCGGAAAUUCACUGCGUAUUAAU